GGUUAUGGUUAAGGUGGAGUGAAGCAGGGUCGCGCUAUUUAAAUCUUCGGCUCGCCCUCUUCUUGGUGAUUGACUUACCUAAAGAGGGAAUUUUCUGUCGUUCUGUUAGAAGCUGUAACAGGUGGUUACCAUACGUGUGAAUUCCAGGACUCUUGAGCUCCUAACAGCACUUCAGCCCUUGAGCAGACAAUGGAAUCAGGUGACAAAUCCCCAACCAUGAAAGACAACCCUGAGCUUAGGGAAGGCAUCGAGAAUUUCAACAAAAAAGCUCUUAAAAAGACGACCACUCAGGAGAAGAUUGUACUACCAGAUCAAAAGGAUAUCGAAGAAGAGAAAAAGUUAUGUGCAGGAAAGUGAAGACUGAUGAUGAUUGUGUUCAGUAAAUUCCAUAUGUCUUACACCUCCUUUAAUGGAUUUGCGCAUUAACCUUCAUGGCACUCAGAAUUAUGUGCGAGGCUUUGUAAUUUGCAGACUGAAUGAUGAGCUGUCAAUGCUUUGUAAUAAUGAACCCGUUGAGAGGAGGACUGAAAAAGAGAAAAAGAGUUGGAACCCAAAAAGUUAGAGGGGACAUUACAGUAUGCUGUUUAGACGAGUUUAAAUGACGAGGAACACCUGGUAACUUUUGAAAGAUAACUGCAUUGUCUCUAUCUGGUGCCACAUUUUGUCUUCCUUUUUAAAAUGGUUAAAUGUAUAUGUUAAAAAAAAAUAAUAAAGAUGAUUUAAAGAGA
Long non-coding RNA from Polypterus senegalus (gray bichir), 728 nucleotides. RefSeq lists it as uncharacterized. The record is from RefSeq and is a predicted model, not a curated record. The transcript is spliced from 4 exons. NCBI's taxonomy places the organism in Eukaryota, Metazoa, Chordata, Cladistia, Polypteriformes, Polypteridae.